CCAAUGGCGAUGAGGCAUGCUUUGUCUUGUUGACAUGGCAUCCCCUGGUCUCCCUCCACGGUGACGACAGUGGCAGUGGCGGUGUCCGCCGUCCCCUGUCAUUAGCGUCAUCCACAUCAUAUCCAUCACAAGCACCCGCAGCAAAGCACAGUACAGCGCAGAGCAGAGCGGCAUUCGCAGCUGCAGCACCUGCCAUCCCUUCCCUUCUCCUCAAGCAUCACCAGCUAAGCUUCGUCCCCCCAUCUCGACGUUGCCUCCGUCCAUCCUCUCCUGUCCCUCCUCCGGUCCGACCCUGGUCGAUCGAGGUCGGGGCGCGCGCGCCAUGGGCGGCGUCCAAGAGAAGGAGGCCGGCAUGCCGCCCGCCAUGGCGGUGCCGCCGGUGCUCGUCAAGGGCAAGCGCAGCAAGAGGCAGCGCGUGCACGCGCCGCCGGUCGUGGCCGUGGCCGUGGCGGCGGCGGCGGAGUGGUCGUCGUCGUCCGCGGCGUCGCCAGCCGGCGGCGACGACUCGGGGUCAGGGACCGCCACGUCGCCGUCCGCCGCGGACGACGCCGAGGCCGAGGCCGCGUCCGCCGGGUGCUGCCUGCUCACCGAGGAGGACGAGGACAUGGCGCUCUGCCUCAUGCUCCUCGCGCACGGCGAGCCGGCCAGGGACGACGGUGGUGGCGGCAACGGCAAGACAGCGGCCAAGGAGGCCAGCAGCAGGUUCAGGAGCCGGCGCCCGGCUGCGGCCGGCGACGGCGAGUACGUGUACGAGUGCAAGACGUGCAACAAGUGCUUCCCGUCGUUCCAGGCGCUCGGCGGCCACCGCACCAGCCACAAGAAGCCACGCCUGCUGCUGCUCCCGCCGGUGCCAUCCCAGCCGACCCAGGAAAAGGACCUGGGGCUGGUGCCGACUCCUAACCCUGCAGCCGCGGAGACAGCUGAGGCGUCGCCGCCACCGGCGGCUCCGGCAGAAGCGGCCGCCGAUGCCACCGCGCUCGCGAUCCCAGUUGCCGCGGCGCCAAAGCAAGAAGGACAGGCCGCCGCCGCCGUGGCCACGAGCAGCACGAGCAACAGCAGCAGCGGCGGCGCCAAGCAGCCUCAUCAUCGGCCGCGCGUCCACGAGUGCUCCAUCUGCGGCGCCGAGUUCGGGUCCGGGCAGGCGCUGGGCGGCCACAUGCGGCGGCACCGGCCGCUGGUGCCGGCGGGCGCGCGGGAGCGGGACGACGCGCACGCGCCCAGCAGGAAGGAGAAGAGCCUCCUGGAGCUGGACCUCAACAUGCCCGCGCCCUGCGACGAGGCCGAGGCCGAUGCCCCGGCGGUCACGUCCCCACGCUUCGCUUUCGCCGUCGCGGAGCGUCCUCCGGCGCCGCUGCUCUUCCCGCCGGCCACGCCGUCCGCCCUGGUUGACUGCCAUUACUAGUUAAACACAGGAGAGUACACGACACACCGAUUACCUCCCUCCUCUGCGGGCUUCAACAUCAUACAUAACGUCUACUGCACACACAAACACACAAACACACACACUACACGCCACUUGGAUUCGAUCUUCUCGC
This 1535-nucleotide unclassified non-coding RNA is filed under the name Zea mays. RNAcentral describes it as "misc RNA Zm00001eb088770". Lineage: Eukaryota; Viridiplantae; Streptophyta; Magnoliopsida; Poales; Poaceae. The record is from RNAcentral.